Molecule: ribosomal RNA, 216 nt
Filed under: uncultured bacterium
Lineage: Bacteria
Description: partial 16S ribosomal RNA
Rfam family: Bacterial small subunit ribosomal RNA
Source: RNAcentral
CCUUUCAGUGAGGGAUACCGGCGAGAAAUCGCCGACAAGCCCGCAUAGGCUGCUGGUCAGCAAGGACCAGUUGCAAAGGCUAACUCGCAAGAGGGAGUCGCUGAGAGAUGGGCCCGCGGCCGAUUAGCUAGUUGGUGGGGUAAAAGCCUACCAAGGCGACGAUCGGUAGCUGGUCUGAGAGGACGAUCAGCCACACUGGGAUUGAGAACGGCCCAG